GAUAAAACCAACAAUAACAAUAUUAUAUAUCAUCCAAAAUAUUCAUACAUACAUUAUCAUCCAAAUAAACAAAAAUCUAUUAUACUAUAUGUUCUAGCAUCAAGUAACUAGUUGGUCAACCUGCCAUGAUGAAUUUGGAAAGACAAUUCCACGGCAUCCUACUGAGAGCUCAUGUAUCUACUCAUAAUGUUGGCGCUCUCAUCUCUCUGACUGUAGUUGCAUUCAUCAACUAUGUCUUCCAAUGACAUCCUACUAUUUUCAUCCUUGUACUCAUUAGCUUCUAACAGCUUCCCAAGAAAAUCAUUUCUUGAGAUUCCUUCAUUUUCUCGUUUCUUUAUCAUCUCUAUGAUGCAGUCGCGAAUCCCUUUCUCUAGUUUCUCUGAUUGAACUUCAUCUUUGUAUGUCAAGAAAUAAAAAACUGUUUUGUAAGAAAUUAAUAAUUAAUUCUAGUUAGAUAUAGAAAUUGGGCAUGAGCAGAUCAAUGCACACCGUCGUAUCUAUAUACCAGUUCCUUGUUUAUCUCAGGCUGGCAAUUUCAGCUUUGAAUUAUUUUUCCAACUGCAAUAGGAGAGUAAAUCUUAGAUAUGAGUUUAUAUACACAACAAAAACAAUUCACUCUCUUCAUCAACAGCAAAAACAAUUUCAAACUGUCUGAUUAAAUAAAAGCGGUCCGGAGAAAAUAGCCAUUAAAUCUCAAAGAAA
RNAcentral lists this long non-coding RNA (702 nucleotides) under Salvia miltiorrhiza (redroot sage). RNAcentral describes it as "long non-coding RNA (SMIL_LNC012120)". Lineage: Eukaryota; Viridiplantae; Streptophyta; Magnoliopsida; Lamiales; Lamiaceae. The record is from RNAcentral.